This 207-nucleotide ribosomal RNA is filed under the name uncultured bacterium. RNAcentral describes it as "partial 16S ribosomal RNA". It matches the Rfam family "Bacterial small subunit ribosomal RNA", at positions 568 to 775 of the family's 1533-position model. The record is from RNAcentral.
UGCGUAGGCGGCCUAUUAAGUCUGGUGUAAAUGUCACGGCUUAACCGUGAAGGGUCAUUGGAAACUGAUAGGCUUGAAUACAGAAGAGGUAAGUGGAAUUCCAUGUGUAGCGGUAAAAUGCUUAGAUAUAUGGAGGAACACCAGUGGCGAAGGCGGCUUACUGGUCUGUCAUUGACGCUGAUGCACGAAAGCGUGGGUAGCAAACAG